Molecule: small RNA, 4311 nt
Filed under: Arabidopsis thaliana (thale cress)
Lineage: Eukaryota; Viridiplantae; Streptophyta; Magnoliopsida; Brassicales; Brassicaceae
Description: ATSL040300
Rfam family: Plant small nucleolar RNA R71 (bases 1705-1811)
Source: RNAcentral
AUGUCUAACAGACCUAUCAGCCAAGAUCAAGGAGAUAUUGCAGUAUUUAUACUUGUUGAAAACCAACCUCUUAGCUACUGCGAGUGGCAUGAGAUUUACUGAUGCUCCUAGGUCACAAAGGCAUGUAUUGAAAGUCAAUGAACCUAGGGAGCAUGGUAGAGUGAAUGAACCAGGGUCUCCUGGCUUUUCUGGGACAUCGUUCUCCUGUAUGAUGGCAUUGCACUCAUGGCUUAGAACUGUUGUUUUUUGAACCUCUUGAAUUCUCUCCAUGAUCAAGUCUUUGAGGAACUUUUGGGAAUCCGGGAUACGCGUUAGAGCAUCAGCAACAGGUAUCCUUAAUUCGACUUCCUUGAUGUUCUCGGCAAACAUAGCUCUGUACUUUUCUUCUAACUCUUUCUUAUGUCGACUAGGAAAUGAAAGUGGGGGCUUGUAAGGAUGAGGAAUGAAGACUUUUUCUUUGUUUUUGACAGCAACAUGUUUCGGAGCAGUUGGUGAUAUUGCUGGGAAGGUCGGUCGAGUGAAGUGGUCGAGUGGCAGCUCGAGUGACAGGUCGAGUGGCUGCUCGAGUGACUAGUCGAGUGGCUGCUCGAGUAACUGGUCAAGUGGCUGCUCGAGUGACUGGUCGAGUGGCUGCUCGAGUGACUGGUCGAGUGGCUGCUCGAGUGACUGGUCGAGUGGCUGCUCGAGUAACUGGUCGAGUGGCUGCUCGAGUGACUGGUCGAGUGGCUGCUCGAGUUGUUUGUCAGCUUGAUCUUUAUUGAGACUGAAAUCCUCCCCAUCUUGGUAUGCACUGUCCUCAGUGACUGACUUGGGUCUCUCUCGAGUGGAUAACUCACUUCCACUCCUUAUGUUGAUAGCAUGAACAUUAGCAUACUCCUUGGGAUUCUGAAUUGACUUCCUUGGAAGUCUCGUAACUUUGGGAGCAGAGGAAGAUGCGGAUUGUCCUUCUAAGUAUCUGACUUUGGAAUUCAACGCCUCCACUUUUGCAUUAAGGUCAUUGUAGUUGCAGGCCAGCUUGUGGUGCAAUUCAGAUAACUUCUUAGCAAUUUCCAUGGAGCUAGAUGCUUGUCCAUGUAGCAGUUGUUGUACCAUCUGUUUCAUUUCAGCAUCAGGAGCAGUACGACCUUGGUUUUGCUGAGGUGCAAACCCAGGUGGUUGUUGCUGGUAGUUCCCCUGAAAUUGUUGCUUGGGAACGAAACCUUGAUUGUAGGGAACAAAAGGUUUGUUCUGACCUUGUUGUUGUUGUGGAGGAUACACUUGAUCUUCAGGAUUAGCAACGUUGGUGCUGCGGUAGGAGAGGUUGGGGUUGUUGGUUUUGAAGUUGUUGUAUCGUUUGUAACCACCCUGAUUGUUGUUGAUGUAGCUGACUUCUUCCAACUGGUUACCCUCCCCAUCUUGGACUUGAACCUGCUCGUCAUCAACAAGGAAGUGCACAUGCUUCUGCUGGCUAAGAAGAAUCCUGUCCAGCUUGUCAUUCAACGCUUUGAUCUCCUUCCUGUGUUUGUCAUCAGAGUCAGCUGUUCCUCUGACGGUCCUAUCACAGUCCUCGUUGUAAUUGCCAUCUGAUUGAGCGAGGUUCUCAACCAAUUCCCAGCCUUCUUCAACAUCCUUGUUCUGGAAAUUCCCAUUGCUGGCGGUAUCCAGAAGCAUUCUGAUGCGUGGUAGACUCCUUUGUAAAUAGUGCUGAGCAGAGAGGCUUUAGUAAAGCCGUGAUGAGGGCAUUGGUUGGUGUAACCCUUGAAACGCUACCAUGCUUCACAGAAGCUUUCACCAGUCUUCUGUGAGAAACAAGAAAUCUCAUUUCUGAGUCUUGCAGUUCUGGCAUUGGAGAAAAACUUUGAUAAAAAAGCUUUCUUGCAAUCAUCCCAGGUGGUGAUUGAGUCAUGGGGCAGAUUCUUCUCCCAGAUGUGUGCUUUGUCGCCCAAGGAGACUGGAAACAAACGGAGCUUGAAUCCGUCUUCACUGACACCAUUGAUCUUUGUUAGGUUGUAGAGCCUAUCGAAUUCAUCAAGGUGGUCGAGUGGAUCCUCCAUUGGCAGACCAUAGAAUUUAUUCCCCUGAAUCAUCGAGAUGUGACCACUCUUAAUCUCGAAGUUGUUGUUCUGGAUAGCAGGAGGUGCAAUUCCUUUCCUUUGACGGUGGUCCCGUGGUGCAUCUCCAGCACCAAUGUUUGUAGGGCCAUUCUGUUGAAUUUGUUCGUCAGCCAUUUCGAGUCGUUGCUGCGGUAUAAGGUUGACUAUGUUUCUCCUUUCUCUAAGUUCACGAACUAGGCGGUCGAUGUUAUCAUUGAAAAGGAGGUUCUGGUUGCCUGUUGAUCGAGUUUGAAUAUAGUAGAGAUGUACCUCGGUCGAGAAGACAACAAGAAAAACACACAGUCAGUAACUAAAAUGAAAAUUGAAAAAGAACUUGAUCGAAGCAAGUCUGAAAUCUCAAAUGUAACAAACAAACACCCAAUUGGCAACGACGCCAAAUUGAUAAUAGGUUUUUCAGAUCAUUUAUCCUAAAACACCAAUCAUAUCGUUGUAGUAUUUUAGGUUGUCAAUCCAAAUGGGUGUGAUGCUAACAAUCCAGAUGUGAUCAGAAGUCACUAAGUCAAGCCAAGCAAUAACAGGUUUUGGUGUGUUCUAGCAGUCCUAAGUGAACGUGCUCUUUGCAGAGCACUGGGUGAGGUCGAAUGACAGGUCGAGUAACAGACAGAAAAUGAAACACAGAUACUCGACUUCACAGUCUGUUGCCAGACAACUAGGUGGUCGAGUAUAAGGUCGAGUAACAAGAAAGAACUUCAGAAAUUAAGCGACAGAUAACAAGAUGCAGUAAACAACAGUAGAGUAAACAAAGAAUUCAAUCAGAUAAAGAAUUCCCGAGGAUGGGGUAAUUGAGUAGAUUCGUUUUCUCAGUUUACAAGAGAUUGACAUGCUCAAUAAAUUAACCCUAGACAACAAGUUCAUUAACCAAAUCUAAGUGCCACCGCAACAGAAACCCUCAAGUUAACCUAGUCCCAGACUCAAUCACCAUUGACGAGAGCUAACCUAACAGGCAUUACGAAUCAACAAGUUAAAGCCAAAACGCUCCCUGCAACCAAUACCUUGGUACAGGGUCACGAAUCUCUGGAAUUAGUGGUUCAGACAUUUCAUCGAACACCUUUUGGGCGCGGAAAUGUCUGGGCUCAAAUUCAAGUUGAUCAGAAAGCAAUAGGCAUUAAAAACAACUAAUCUAUAAGGGAUCUAUCAAUCAAUACUCAAUCACCUAGCAUACUGAGAAUCCUACACUACUCUAACCCAUCCUCAGAAACCUAUUCACUACUCAGACAUCAUAACAGAAAGCAUAAACGUUGAACAGGUUGAAGACAUGAUAACAACAGUGUAACGAAAUCAAGAACAAAAGCUGAAUACUGAAUACUGAAUAGAUAAAGAGAAAUCUGGAUUACAAAAGUCUAGAACACAAGGUCUGCGGAAAUAAAACUCGAUAAAAAACUUCUUGUCUGCGAAAAUGUGAAGUACAUGCUACUUAUAGCCAAAUAUUCUGAAACCCUAAUACUCAAAACGACGAAGUAUUGGGACGGAUUAAGAACUGUACUCGACCCAUGUGGUCGAGUGGGAGGUCGAGUGAAUAGCUGGAGUCUUUUUUUCUUCCUUGUGCUCGAGUGUCUGGUUGAGUGCAGAAUGAAGAAGGCUCUGAAGCUUUUCAUCGAGUAUGCAGUCGAGUGGUGUGAUGGUGAUACUCGAGUUCCAGGUAGAGUGACGAGGUCGUGUAGAUGUCUGGCAAUGGGAUGAAGUCACUCGACCUGGGGGUCAAGUGAUGUGAUCGAGUGAUGGUCAGAAGAUGGAGAUGAAGUCACUCGACCUGGGGGUCGAGUGAGGUGAUCGAGUGGUGGUCAAGAGAUGGAGAUGAAGAAACUCGACUUGGGGGUCGAGUGAUGUGAUAGAGUGGUGGUGUCUUCUACUCGACCUGGGGGUCGAGUGGUCUCUUGAGAUCUUGAAGCUCCUACUUGACCUCUAGGUCGAGUGGUUUGUCAUGAUCAGGUCCGCUUCUUUCAGUUAGCUCAUCGACAGCUCAAAAUCACCUGAAAACAACACAAAUAUGCAACAUGCAUGCAAAACUAUCCUAAACAUGCAAAGUGAUGACAGAUGAUGUGAAAUGGUAUAAAACAGUGAUGAUAUGAUGCUAAAAUGAUGACAAAUGGAUGCUCAAAACAUGCAAAAUACACACUUAUCAAUCAUAUGCAUGCUUACUCACUUAGACUUAACUAAUCAGAAUUCAGUCUAAGUUAGAACUUGAAUCUUAAAAUGAUGGGUAUUUGAAGAACUUGAU